GCUGGAUAUAGACCUCUCUUAAGAACAUGAUAACUCUAAUAUGGCUGGCGAUCCUAGUGCUGGUGAUCAUCCAGUAUAUGAGAAAGGUAUACUCCAGGUUUGAUGAUGCUGGUGUGAGCCAUUUCAAGCCAGCGCCUGUGGUAGGCAAUGCUGGUAUGCAGGUCACCGGGAAGAGACACGUCUCUCAAGACUUUGAUAUACUGUACCAGACCUUCUCUAAUGAUAGAUUUAUUGGCAGAUAUGAAAUGAUGCGACCGACCGUCAUCCUCCGAGACCUGGAGCUGAUCAAGAAGGUAGCGAUCAAAGACUUUGAGUACUUCAUAGACCACAGGGCUGUGGUCGAUGACACAGUCGAUCCUCUGUUUGGCAGGAACUUGUUCUCGUUGAAGGGUCAAGAAUGGAAGGAAAUGCGUUCGACCCUGAGCCCUGCGUUCACCAGCUCGAAGAUGCGCGGCAUGGUGCCCUUCAUGAUCGAUGUUAACAAACAAAUGAUCGGUGUUCUCAAGAAGAAAAUCCAAACUUCAGAAAAUAACUACGUGGACAUCGAGUGCAAGGACGUCACAACUCGAUAUGCCAACGACGUGAUCGCCUCUUGCGCCUUCGGUGUGAAAGUUGACUCCCACACUGACGAAGACAACGAGUUCUAUACCAAAGGCCGCUCUACUGCCAAUUUUGGGUUCCGAAGAAUCCUUGUGUUCCUUGGUUAUGCUUCCUUUCCUAAACUUAUGAAAAAAUUAAACAUCUCCCUGUUUUCAAACGAAACGACGCAAUUCUUCAAGAAUCUCGUACUGAGCACCAUGAAGGAGAGAGAGGACCGCAACAUCUUCAGACCUGACAUGAUCCACUUACUUAUGGAGGCAAAGAAAGGUAAGCUGACCUACGACGAGAAAACUACUGAUAAGGCUGACACAGGCUUCGCUACAGUAGAAGAGUCUGACAUCGGGAAGAAAACUGUUAAUAGAGUAUGGUCAGACACCGAUCUAGUAGCCCAAGCAACGUUGUUCUUCGUUGCUGGCUUUGAAACCAUCUCUUCCGCCAUGUCCUUCAUUCUCCACGAGCUGGCUGUGAACCCCGAUAUCCAAGAGAAGCUGUACGCUGAGAUCAUGGAGAACGAAGCUAACACUAAUGGAAAGUUCGAUUACAACUCCAUCCAGAACCUGACUUACUUGGACUGCGUUAUAUCAGAGGCUCUGAGGUUGUGGCCUCCUGCGGUUGGAUUGGACAGGAUGUGUGUUAGGGACUACAAUAUGGGAAGAGCCAACGAGAAGUCCAAGAAAGAUUUCAUUAUUCGGAAAGGUGAGGGUAUCGUCGUCCCAGUGUACUCUAUCCACCACGACCCGGAGUACUUCCCGGAGCCCUACAAGUUCGACCCUGACCGCUUCUCCGAAGAAAACAAGCACAACAUCAAACCGAUGACUUAUAUCCCCUUUCGGAGUUGGGCCUAGGAAUUGCAUUGGAUCAAGAUUCGCGCUCUGCGAGGUGAAGGUGAUGCUGUACCAGCUCGUGCAGCAGCUCGAGGUGACGGUGAGCGAUAAGACUGUGAUCCCAGCCAAGCUCGACACCAAGACCUUCAACAUGCGCAUCGAUGGUGGACAUUGGGUCAGGCUCAAAGUCAGGCAGUAAAAUAGACUUAGACAAUUUAUGGUAAUAUUUUAUUGGCAAUGUUAUAGUAAUAUUAUAGUAGUUGAUUUUAAGUAACCUCGGGCUUGAAGAAUCAUGGCAGAUAAGCAUAGGUAGUGCUCUCAGGAUUAGCAAAAUGAUGUAAGACGAUGCAGUGUGGUGAACAUGGGCAAUCAUGAGUAUAACUUAUUCAGGCCGGCAUAAUUGUGUCGACUGUUCAGGGAUAAUCAUCUGUUAUUCGAAUUUAUACUUACCAUCAGGUGCAGUGGGUACACUUUGUUGUGGCCGGAUAAAAACAUUACAUCGACGGUUGAAAAUAUUUAACUAGGUUUAAAAAAACAUUAAAAAGAACUUGUUUAAAAUAUGUAUGACACUUAGUGUCGCAAAGAAAUGUCGCUAAGACAAUUAGUCUUUCAAUCUUCGAUAUAUAUGUUAAGUACUAACUUCUGUUUCGACCGCGAAAAAAUUGGUUUUUCAACUAUGUUCCUCUCCAUUCCCGACGGUAUAGAGAUGGUACAGUGGAUGGUAUGGUAUAGUAUGGCCAUUGAUUCUGACGGUGGGUUUUAACGCAUUCAAUUUUUUGGUACAUGUAUUGUAAAUUAAUUGUACUAUACCUGUCCUCGUUCCGCAAGUGCCAGCAAUAAGUUCACAAAGUUGUAUCUCAAUUGGAUGGAAUUUCAUCGAAAUCCAUUUGAUAUUUUAAUAGUUUAUUGCGUUCAGACAGAUGCGAGGACUUUGUUUUAUAAUAUGUAUAUAAGAAUUUGUAAUUCGUAAAUAUGAUAUUAUUAUAAAUAUCCAUUUUAUUUUGUUAAAAGGUUUAAACCUCAGAAUAUGUUUUAAAGAAUCAUAAACAGUGGUAAUGAACUUGAUAUUUUCAUUAUCUCUAUUAGCAUUUUUCGUGACAUUUGUAUUGUAUUCAUAAGUAUUUAUAUACUUUUUAUUGUUUUGAAAUAGAUGUCAUUUUUCAAUACACCAAAUAUGUCCAAAAAGUUUUUAAAUUAUUGCAAAUGAAUGAAGCAUCAUAACUCUUAUUUAGACAAUAAAUUACUUGACAAUUAAGAAGAUAAUUGUAAUAAUAUAUAAGUGAUAUUCCUGGUAGUUUGAGAUAGUUGACGUGCCAAAUGUAGACUGAUAGGUCGGACUGAUGGACUGAUAGUCGGAUUUGAUUCCACACUGACACAAUGAUUAUUAUAUUAUUAUAGUGCCAUGAAUUCAUAUGUUUUUGUGUACAAUAUUUAAUUUAGUUUUUACUGUAAUUUUGCCGAGCUCUCAUUACAAAAUUAUGUAUCCAUGCCUAUUGACAAUAUGAGUCUAAAUAAAUAUCAUUGAAAUGUA
This is an RNA transcript of Manduca sexta (tobacco hornworm), 2955 nucleotides long. It is a transcript of the gene named cytochrome P450 9e2-like, with no coding region annotated. The record is from RefSeq and is a predicted model, not a curated record. Lineage: Eukaryota; Metazoa; Arthropoda; Insecta; Lepidoptera; Sphingidae. The transcript is spliced from 11 exons.